GUGCCUACGGGACGCAGCAGUGAGGAAUAUUGGUCAAUGGGCGCAGGCCUGAACCAGCCAAGUCGCGUGAGGGAAGACUGCCCUAUGGGUUGUAAACCUCUUUUAUAAGGGAAGAAUAAUGACUACGUGUAGUCAGAUGCCCGUACCUUAUGAAUAAGCAUCGGCUAACUCCGUGCCAGCAGCCGCGGUAAUACGGAGGAUGCGAGCGUUAUCCGGAUUUAUUGGGUUUAAAGGGUGCGUAGGCGGGCAUUUAAGCCGGCGGUCAAAUGUCGGGGCUCAACCCCGGCCUGCCGUCGGAACUGGGG
This 305-nucleotide ribosomal RNA is filed under the name uncultured bacterium. Its description in RNAcentral is "bacterial SSU rRNA". It matches the Rfam family "Bacterial small subunit ribosomal RNA", at positions 335 to 638 of the family's 1533-position model. The record is from RNAcentral.